Molecule: long non-coding RNA, 259 nt
Organism: Pollicipes pollicipes
Lineage: Eukaryota; Metazoa; Arthropoda; Thecostraca; Pollicipedomorpha; Pollicipedidae
Exons: 3
Source: RefSeq, a predicted model, not a curated record
GACCGACCGUAACUUCCUCUCCACGGCUGAGUUGGCCAGCGGCCUGGAGUCCAGUGACGACGACUCGUCGCCGGGCUCUGACGAGUUCGAGCCGGCGCUGGACGACGACGAAGUUCUCCGGUUGGCCGAGAGAUGGCAUCUCCUCCACACGGACCUGGCCUCGGAAGACGGCAGUGAUCUGUACGAGUCGGAUGGCGUCGAGCACGCCGACGAAGACUCCGACACCGUGACCCAGUCGGAGACGGAAGAGGAGGUGUCG